Clarias gariepinus (North African catfish) is the source of this 857-nucleotide long non-coding RNA. RefSeq lists it as uncharacterized. Lineage: Eukaryota; Metazoa; Chordata; Actinopteri; Siluriformes; Clariidae. The transcript is spliced from 3 exons. The record is from RefSeq and is a predicted model, not a curated record.
UCUCUAAAAGUCACAUACAUGAUUGUUUGAGUUAGACAAAUCAAAAUAAAUGCCUAAAAAAAACAAUUAUUCAUUUUGUCUUAAAUUUACACUAUAAUUUAAGUUUACUUCACUAGUAAAAAUCAGUAUUUGACUAACUGAAUUAUAUUUUUAACAUGCACUUAAUAUUUUUUGAUACAUUUAAAUCAAAAUAUCUGUUAAUGGAGUAAUUGUACUGAUUAGUUUCAAGAACUACAUAAUAUAAAUUAUUCCAACUCAAUAUUCUUUAUUUUUAACAACAAAAACUUAAAUAAUUGAGUAAAUUGCCCUGUGCAAGUGCUCAUGGGAAGUCUGGUGUAACAUCAGAGACAAGAAGGCUGUGUGGAUGUGAGAAUGGACAUGAAGCACCUGGAACAUUCUGGAACAUUCCUUACAAAUCCUGCACCAACACCACUAAUGAAGAGAAGUUGAAUGGAGAUAAAACAGGAGGUGCCAGCAUUAUGGGAUGGCGGUGUAAGCUCUGCACAUUUGUCGUAUCAUCAAAAGGAAUUUCGAUCAUUACCGAGUGAAGCAUGGUACUGUUGGUCAUGGAUAUUUAGUGUCCUGUCUUCAUUUAGACUGUCAUUGCUUCUUUAAGACCUGAGAAGGUCUGCACACACAUUUGUAUGGAUCCCACAGUUUGCAGGAAACUGAAGUGUGAAGGUGUGCAAUCUUUCAGAUGUAAAAUGUGACUCAUUAGAUUCUAAUACAAAAGUCUACUUUCCAUGUGUUAACUGUAUAAUACUUGUGGCAGGAGUAUUGUUUCUGAAACUGUUUACUAAUAAGAUAAAUCCAGCUGUCUGUUUAUGAUCUUGUUACAUGUCAUUUGCAAAGUAAAC